This is a long non-coding RNA of Protopterus annectens (West African lungfish), 661 nucleotides long. RefSeq lists it as uncharacterized. The transcript has 3 exons. The record is from RefSeq and is a predicted model, not a curated record. NCBI's taxonomy places the organism in Eukaryota, Metazoa, Chordata, Ceratodontiformes, Protopteridae.
AGCAGUUGCAGAUUUCCUGUAAAAACAUAUAUAGUUAUACGAAUGCUGCAUUAAUGUAUCAACUUUGGGAGCAGUAGACUAUCAGGAAAUGGGCCUGGACUUUCUGGAAAUAUGUGUCAGAUGAUAGCAGUCCAGCUAGCUGUUUCAGGUACCAAUGUAUAUGAACAUCUGUGAAGUAAUGCACAUCUCUGUUAGAAGACAGAAGAAACAAUCCGCAACUCAUACCAUCCUGUGAGUGAAGGACUGCGGUUUCACCAGCAUGAACAAGGAGUGGCUAUUAGAGUUACAGCCACAAAAAUAAUUUGUACCAAGCCAAAGAUGACGAAAUAGAUGCCAAAUCUACCAUCAAAGGGGUCCCUAAAGCAAGAAUUGUAAGGGCUGCACAUACCUUAAUAUCCAGUGACAUGGGAAGACCACACAAUCCUUCACAUCCAGUUUAUGGGCCAUACAGUUCAACUAAUAUUUGAUUGAUGUCUUGAUCCACAUGGAACUGAUCUUGGAGCUGCUGAUCCAUCAUCUAAUGUGGUACCAGCCUGCAUUUGUAUCACCACUGAUAGCGCUGCAUUCCACCAUAAACAGACACUAUUGACUGGUAUUUACAAGAUACAUGUUGUUGCCUUUCGUCUAAUUCAUGGCUGAAAAGUCUCCUGGAAUAGCUGGC